Molecule: ribosomal RNA, 743 nt
Filed under: uncultured bacterium
Lineage: Bacteria
Description: bacterial SSU rRNA
Rfam family: Bacterial small subunit ribosomal RNA
Source: RNAcentral
AGCGAACAGGAUUAGAUACCCUGGUAGUCCAUGCCGUAAACGUUGGGCACUAGGUGUGGGGGAUAUUCCACGUUUUCCGCGCCGUAGCUAACGCAUUAAGUGCCCCGCCUGGGGAGUACGGCCGCAAGGCUAAAACUCAAAGGAAUUGACGGGGGCCCGCACAAGCGGCGGAGCAUGCGGAUUAAUUCGAUGCAACGCGAAGAACCUUACCAAGGCUUGACAUGGACCGGAUCGCCGCAGAAAUGUGGUUUCUCCUUUUGGGGCCGGUUCACAGGUGGUGCAUGGUUGUCGUCAGCUCGUGUCGUGAGAUGUUGGGUUAAGUCCCGCAACGAGCGCAACCCUCGUUCCAUGUUGCCAGCACGUAGUGGUGGGGACUCAUGGGAGACUGCCGGGGUCAACUCGGAGGAAGGUGGGGACGACGUCAAAUCAUCAUGCCCCUUAUGUCUUGGGCUUCACGCAUGCUACAAUGGCCGGUACAAAGGGUUGCGAUACUGUGAGGUGGAGCUAAUCCCAAAAAGCCGGUCUCAGUUCGGAUUGGGGUCUGCAACUCGACCCCAUGAAGUCGGAGUCGCUAGUAAUCGCAGAUCAGCAACGCUGCGGUGAAUACGUUCCCGGGCCUUGUACACACCGCCCGUCAAGUCACGAAAGUUGGUAACACCCGAAGCCGGUGGCCUAACCCCUUUGUGGGAGGGAGCCGUCGAAGGUGGGACUGGCGAUUGGGACUAAGUCGUAACAAGGUAACC